UAAAAUUAGAAAUCUUUCUUGUAGUUUGGAGACCUAAUAGACCCCGAGGCUUGGUGGGUGGUUCUCUCCUGCUAACUUCUAAAGUUGAAGCUAAGGGGAUCAUUAUUUAUCUGGAGACUAUAAGGCUGUGCUGUCCAGUAUGGUAGUCACCAGCCUCAUGUGGCUGUUGAGAACUUGAAAUGUGGCUAGUCCGGAUCGAGAUGUGCUCUGAAUACAGACAAUAUGGAGGCCUCAGGCUCAGAGGAUGGCAGAGUCUUCAGAUGGAUGGAGGGAGCUGCAGUCACUGAACCACUGCAGGGAGAGAAGUACUCACAGACCAGGAACGCUCAACUUGGACUGUUAUGUGACAGAAAGGAGACAUGCAUACAAGGAGAAUGCCAGGUGAACGUGAAGACCAUCAUUUGCAAGCCAAGAGAGGCCUGGAGCAGAUCCUUCAGAGCCCUCAGAAGGGACCAACCCUGCUGGCACCUUGAUUUUGGACUUCCAGCCUCCAGAACUAAGAACUUGAUGUAUACCUCCUGACCUGUUCAUCUUGUAGCUGCCUCUUGACAGCACAUGUUGGCACCUUUAGAAAGAUCUAGAAAUCCACGUGUUGUACGUAAAUCUGGGGCUGUUGUUACUGCAGAUGUACCUUCCACAACUUGAUUUUCUGUGAUGUCAAUUAUUCAGAGACGGGGUUUCACCGUGUU
Molecule: long non-coding RNA, 689 nt
Filed under: Homo sapiens (human)
Lineage: Eukaryota; Metazoa; Chordata; Mammalia; Primates; Hominidae
Description: HSALNT0307456
Source: RNAcentral